RNAcentral lists this ribosomal RNA (102 nucleotides) under Rhadinocentrus ornatus. Its description in RNAcentral is "partial 12S ribosomal RNA". The record is from RNAcentral. Lineage: Eukaryota; Metazoa; Chordata; Actinopteri; Atheriniformes; Melanotaeniidae.
AGACUGCCGCUUAAUAAAUAAAAAAUUAAUUAAUAAAGGGGGAGGCAAGUCGUAACUUGGUAGGUGUACCGGAAGGUGCACUGGGAUAAAUAUAAGAGUUUA